This 441-nucleotide ribosomal RNA is filed under the name uncultured bacterium. Its description in RNAcentral is "partial 16S ribosomal RNA". It matches the Rfam family "Bacterial small subunit ribosomal RNA", at positions 338 to 795 of the family's 1533-position model. The record is from RNAcentral.
CCUACGGGUGGCAGCAGUGGGGAAUAUUGGGCAAUGGGCGCAAGCCUGACCCAGCGACGCCGCGUGAGGGAAGACGGUCUUCGGAUUGUAAACCUCUUUCAGCAGGGAAGACAAAAGGACGGUACCUGCAGAAGAAGCCACGGCUAACUACGUGCCAGCAGCCGCGGUAAUACGUAGGUGGCAAGCGUUGUCCGGAAUUACUGGGUGUAAAGGGAGCGUAGGCGGGACUGCAAGUUGGGUGUCAAAUCUACCGGCUCAACCGGUAGCUGCACUCAAAACUGCAGUUCUUGAGUGAAGUAGAGGCAGGCGGAAUUCCUAGUGUAGCGGUGAAAUGCGUAGAUAUUAGGAGGAACACCAGUGGCGAAGGCGGCCUGCUGGGCUUUUACUGACGCUGAGGCUCGAAAGUGUGGGGAGCAAACAGGAUUAGAUACCCCUGUAGUC